GUAGGUGAACCUGCGGAGGGAUCAUUAACACGUAUCCAAACGUUAAAACCAAACCGUGCUCCUCUUUUUGCCCAUACUGGAAGGUGUAUAUGCAAGCCAUAAGAUAGAUUCAUUAAGGGGGUAAAAGCCCUUUUUGUCUACUUGCAGUACUAUGAUCCCCUUGAGGAUCGAACCGCUCUGGUAUGGUGUAUCAAAAGCUAUCUUGGUUAUCAGUGCCACCCCGGUAUCGACCCGGAGCCUGGUAGCCUUAUUAAUCCCUUUUUUAACCCCUUUAUUUUUUACAAAACUACUGAUUUUACUUCAUGACCUUUUGGCCCUUAAUUGGUGCCUGGGUUAGAAUGUAUACGAAAUUGCGAACAACUCUUAGCAACGGAUAUCUUGGUUCUC
Molecule: unclassified non-coding RNA, 387 nt
Filed under: rhizosphere metagenome
Description: partial ribosomal RNA internal transcribed spacer region
Source: RNAcentral